UGGGGAAUAUUGGACAAUGGGCGAAAGCCUGAUCCAGCCAUGCCGCGUGAGUGACGAAGGCCUUAGGGUUGUAAAACUCUUUCGUCGGGGACGAUAAUGACGGUACCCGAAGAAGAAGCUCCGGCUAACUUCGUGCCAGCAGCCGCGGUAAUACGAAGGGGGCUAGCGUUGUUCGGAUUUACUGGGCGUAAAGCGCGUGUAGGCGGGUCGUUAAGUUGGGGGUGAAAUCCCGAGGCUCAACCUCGGAACUGCCUUCAAAACUGGCGACCUGGACCUAAGUAGAGGCAAGUGGAAUUGCGAGUGUAGAGGUGAAAUUCGUAGAUAUUCGCAGGAACACCAGUGGCGAAGGCGACUUGCUGGACUUAUGGUGACGCUGAGGCGCGAAAGCUAGGGGAGCAAACGGGAUUAGAUACCCUAGUAGUCCCUGAGCGGGCUGGCAAGGCGCAU
RNAcentral lists this ribosomal RNA (447 nucleotides) under uncultured bacterium. RNAcentral's name for it is "bacterial SSU rRNA". It matches the Rfam family "Bacterial small subunit ribosomal RNA", at positions 355 to 825 of the family's 1533-position model. The record is from RNAcentral.